UGUGAGUACCAGCAGCCCUGGAGAGC
Molecule: non-coding RNA, 26 nt
Filed under: Macaca fascicularis (crab-eating macaque)
Lineage: Eukaryota; Metazoa; Chordata; Mammalia; Primates; Cercopithecidae
Also listed under: 1 other name
Source: RNAcentral